Molecule: ribosomal RNA, 454 nt
Filed under: uncultured bacterium
Lineage: Bacteria
Description: partial 16S ribosomal RNA
Rfam family: Bacterial small subunit ribosomal RNA
Source: RNAcentral
ACGGGAGGCAGCAGUGAGGAAUAUUGGACAAUGGGGGCAACCCUGAUCCAGCCAAACCGCGUGAGGGAUGAAGGUCCUACGGAUCGUAAACCUCUUUUAUGUGGGAAUAAUUGCCGGUAUGUAUACUGGUUUGAAGGUACCACUUGAAUAAGCAUCGGCUAACUCCGUGCCAGCAGCCGCGGUAAUACGGAGGAUGCAGGCGUUAUCCGGAUUUAUUAGGUUUAAAGGGUGCGCAGGCGGGACAUUAAGUCGGCGGUGAAAUACCGUGGCCCAACCACGGGGCUGCCGUCGAUACUGAUGACCUAGAGUGCGUGUGACGUAGGCGGAAUGUGACGUGUAGCGGUGAAAUGCUUAGAUAUGACGAAGAACUCCGAUUGGGAAGCCAGCUUACUGUAGCGCCACUGACGCUGAUGCUCGAAAGCGUGGGUAUCGAACAGGAUUAGAUACCCUGGUA